AAAUUACUGGAGCUCGAUUUGAAUAGGUCGUAAGUAACAAAAUUACGUAAUUUGAGUUUAUUAUUUUAAAUGAUAGUAAGCACACUAAAUAUUAUGUGAAAAAAGAUUGAUCUUAUUAUUUUAUUCCAUUAUUUUUUAAAAAAUAUAAAAUAUUUCGUCCUAACUGACAAAAUAUUCAGAAUUCCGAACCCCUGUCCAUUCGACCUAAUGUGCGAAAAGGUCGUACUACCGGAAAAUGCCUAAACAUAAAAAAGUGUGCAUUCGACCUUCUGUCAUCAGAGGGUCGAAUGAACAGCAGCUGUCAAACUGACAAAAAUUGCACUUACGACCUGCAUUGUUUUUCUAGCUUUUUCGAAAUUUUUAUUUAAUUAUUCAAUAAUUUUCAGUGGCAAUAUCACUUCAGUAAAGAAUACGACAGCGCUGAAUGGCACAUUGAGUGAAGUAUUUCCCCUAUAUAGAUCAACAGAUCCAGAGCGUCUUCAAUGGUCCCUGGAAUGGUGUAAGUUAUUGUCGCUUGGACGGAACAGCGGGUGCUUGACAUGAUACAGAUAAACAACCACUGCAAACCCAAAACGACUGCCAUCGAUUAAUACCCUGGAAGUGACUGUUGUAUGAACUCGAUAAGUUAUGGUAGAUCGUCUACAGCACGAUGCAGACGGAAGUAUAAGAACCCGCAGCAUUGGGAAGUUUUAGCCAAGCGAUUCAAGAAGAUACCGAAGCCAGACAUGGACCCGAGAGAUCGAAAUCUUUUUACAAACAGACGUCUGUGAGAGUAAGCUGGCCAGCGAGCUGGCCAGCAUAAAUUCGUGCAGUGGACCAUAUCAUUGAAGACAUUACAUUUUAGUGCACUGAUAUGUACUUUUUUCCAAUAUAUUUACAUGCAAAACUUUU
Molecule: long non-coding RNA, 891 nt
Organism: Aedes albopictus (Asian tiger mosquito)
Lineage: Eukaryota; Metazoa; Arthropoda; Insecta; Diptera; Culicidae
Exons: 3
Source: RefSeq, a predicted model, not a curated record